CCUACGGGUGGCAGCAGUGAGGAAUAUUGGUCAAUGGGCGCGAGCCUGAACCAGCCAAGUCGCGUGAGGGAAGACGGUCCUGGGGAUUGUAAACCUCUUUUGUCGGGGAGCAAAAGACGCCACGCGUCGCGUUCCGAGAGUACCCGAAGAAAAAGCAUCGGCUAACUCCGGGCCAGCAGCCGCGGUAAUACGGAGGAUGCGAGCGUGAUCCGGAUUGAUUGGGUUUAAGGGGUGGGCAGGCGGAAGAGAAAGUCAGCGGUAAAAUUGUGGGGCUCAACCUCUUCGAGCCGUUGAAACUGGUUGUCUUGAGUGAGUGAGAAGUAAGCGGAAGGCGUGGUGUAGCGGUGAAAUGCAUAGAUAUCACGCAGAACUCCGAUUGCGAAGGCAGCAGACCGGCGCUCAACUGACGCUCAUGCACGAAAGUGUGGGUAUCGAACAGGAUUAGAUACCCGAGUAGUC
This 459-nucleotide ribosomal RNA is filed under the name uncultured bacterium. RNAcentral's name for it is "partial 16S ribosomal RNA". It matches the Rfam family "Bacterial small subunit ribosomal RNA", at positions 338 to 795 of the family's 1533-position model. The record is from RNAcentral.